RNAcentral lists this ribosomal RNA (254 nucleotides) under uncultured bacterium. RNAcentral's name for it is "partial 16S ribosomal RNA". It matches the Rfam family "Bacterial small subunit ribosomal RNA", at positions 524 to 776 of the family's 1533-position model. The record is from RNAcentral.
UACGGGGGGGGCAAGCGUUGUCCGGAUUUAUUGGGCGUAAAGAGCUCGUAGGCGGCUCGGUAAGUCGGGUGUGAAACCUCCAGGCUCAACCUGGAGACGCCACUCGAUACUGCCAUGGCUAGAGUCCGGUAGAGGAGCGUAGAAUUCCUGGUGUAGCGGUGAAAUGCGCAGAUAUCAGGAGGAAUACCAGCGGCGAAGGCGGCGCUCUGGGCCGGAACUGACGCUGAGGAGCGAAAGCGUGGGGAGCAAACAGG